RNAcentral lists this ribosomal RNA (720 nucleotides) under uncultured archaeon. RNAcentral describes it as "bacterial SSU rRNA". It matches the Rfam family "Archaeal small subunit ribosomal RNA", at positions 1 to 682 of the family's 1478-position model. The record is from RNAcentral.
UUCCGGUUGAUCCUGCCGGAGGCUACUGCUAUUGGAAUCCGAUUAAGCCAUGCGAGUCUAAAGGACUUCGGUCCUUGGCGGACGGCUCAGUAACACGUGGAGAACCUGCCCUCAGGAGGGGGAUAACCCCGGGAAACUGGGAAUAAUACCCCAUAGGUCUAGGAUGCUGGAAUGCUUCUAGGCUGAAAGCUCCGGCGCCUGAGGAUGGCUCUGCGGCUUAUCAGGUUGUAGUGAGGGUAACGUCCUCACUAGCCUAUGACGGGUACGGGCCCUGAGAGGGGAAGCCCGGAGAUGGACUCUGAGACACGAGUCCAGGCCCUACGGGGCGCAGCAGGCGCGAAAACUCCGCAAUGCUCGAAAGAGUGACGGGGGGAUUCCAAGUGCCUACGCUCAGCGUAGGCUGUUCAGAUGCCUAAAAAGCAUCUGGAGUAAGGGCUGGGUAAGACGGGUGCCAUCUGUGGCAGCAGCCGAAAAUUUGGCUUGCUACUGCAAGGCAUAAGCCGCCGCGGUAAUACCCGCAGCUCGAGUGGUAGUCGAUUUUAUUGGGCCUAAAGCGUCCGUAUCCGGUCUGGUAAAUGCUUGGGUAAAUCGUCUGGCUUAACCAGAUGAAUUCCGGGUAGACUACCAGACUUGGGACCGGUUGAGGAAGAGGGUACUUCAGGGGUAGGAGUGAAAUCCUGUAAUCCUUGAAGGACCACCAGUGGCGAAGGCGCUCUUCUA